UUCUUGCCGUUGGGCUAAUCCCUUCUUCACAGUGCAGUUUAUUUUCAAGAGGCUGUUGCGUUGCUGCUUUCCCCUCCCACUCCUUCAGUGCGACAGCCUCAGAGCUGAUGAAGAGACAGAGAGCACGCAACUGGAAAAACUUCAGACGUGGAAUUCAUGGAUCAAAUGGUCACCAGUUGUUUCCGCAUUAUGUAUUGAAUAACACAACCUUCUUCCUCUGAUGAGAAGUGUCAACAGCUCUUCUCCUGUUAGAUAGGGUGUAGCUUUCCACAGGUCAGCCAUUUUCUCUUUACUCAAGAUGGUUACAUUCCAUAAUAGUACUUUUACCUUCUUGCUACAUCCAGCAGCCUGCUAAAGCAUCAUGUUAAGACUUUUUCCUUUCAAGAAUCCUAGCUGUAUAUAGUUUAGAACAGUUAUUUUCAAACAGGAUGUGUGUGUGUGUGUGUUAAAUAGUUAAAAUGUUAAUUAUUAUUAUUUUUUUACAAAUUAGAAGUUGGUGAAUCCAAUGACAUAGAAUACUGAUCCAGAUGUUAUUCCAAAUGUUGUUCCUUUUGGAUGCUCCUGACAUUCCAGUUGUGUGUUUGGAAAGUACUUCAGGGGUCAAUGCUUAUCCUAAGGAUUUCUGUUCCUCAGGUAUUUAGAGAAUUAAAGCUGUGUGGAUUUAGUUCCUGGAAUUUUCUAGAGGGAAAUGUAAGAAAUGUAUGAGGUGAAUAAAUGUUUUCAAUUAUGUCGCUAGAACUAAUAUGAUCUCAGAAUUUAAAGGAUGGAGAUGAGUCUCGAUAGGUGGUACCACUGUCAUUAUCUCUUCAAGACAGGAAAACACCACUAUGCUCCAUUUCUUUGUGCUGCAAGUGGAAGGGUCAAGACAGGAAACAUGGAAGCUUUUACUAGGAGGUAAGUUAAAUAGUAACAGAAGUAUUUGACAGUUAAAAAUCACCUGCUGUUCUCUGUUGCACCCUUUACUCUCCAGCACAGCUUUUCUCCCACCCAGCAACUUCGAACCACAGCCACUGGCCUUUUCUGAUUUUGGAAGGAAAAGGAAGAUGUUAAAGGAAAAUGCCUGGAACCAGACUUCUGCCUGCAUUGUACAACUAACUUGUCCUAAUACCCAUACUGACCAAAUGAGAGACACGUAUUUACCCUCACAGAAUGCAAACACCUCUCACAUAGCACACAGAUGACCUAGAGCAGAAUGUUCCACUACCCCUGAGGCUCAUUCGUGUAUAUCACAGCAAAAAGAUUUGCCCCUUAUUACAUCCCUUCCAUAUCACUGGGCUCUUUUAGAUAAACACAGGUUCUCUCCAACUCAGAGACCAAGCUAAAGGACAUUUAUCAGCUUCACAUGAUGAGACUUGUCUCACUGUGGAGACAGUGCCUAUAGCACAGAAAAUCUCAACAUUGUAGCUCAUCUUCACAUCACACAGAUCCUGUCAAGAACACACAAAGUAUACAGACUUCAUUUAUAAAACACAGAUUUCUUCCCAAGCACAUAGAUUCCCCUCAGAAAAUUUAAGUACUCCCCCCAGCAAGCCUCUUCCCACAGCAAAUCGUCCCAUGUGUGCUCCACCAACUGAACUCCUGGGUGAUGAAGUUCUUGUGAAACAGACCUCCCUCACAUCACUCUAACCCUUGCAAAACCAAGCAGCCUUGCCCACAACACACAGACUCUUGUCACAUCAUGGAAACCUUCACCACAGAACACAGACUGUCCACAGCACAGCUUCACCACAUAGUGCACAUAGUUUCUCCUUGAACACAGACAUACAACACAGCUCAAAUCCCUUGCCUUGGCACAAAAACUCACCCAAUAAACAAACUAUCCCUCUGACAAAUAAACGAAUGCCAUGUAACAAAGAUCGUUCCAACAGGACACAGGCUUAUCUCUUACUACACACACACCUUCCAUGGUGCACAUUUAUCCCAUGAAACAUAGAUUGAAUUUAUGGUACAGAGACAUUCCCAAUAGCUCUGAGCAUGCUUACUCCACCACAUAGCAAUGCAGAAGUAUAACCCGAAGCACGUAGAUCAUGCCUUGUUAAACAAGAUUUUAAUUUAAUAAACACAGUUUUACUACAAUGUACCAAUUCAUCUCAUGAUAAACAUACAUUGCAAACCUGCAUUGCAAACACCUGCCUCAGAGGCACUCAUUUGCCACACAUUCCAGAUUUGCAGAAUUACUCUCUAAGGUACUUGAGUUCCCUCCCCACAGUAUCCACACUCAACCCACAAUCCAGGUGUAAACUAUAACAUGUGAACACACAUCUCAGAAGACCACACUCCACUGCCACAAUGCUCAGAAUUCUCUAACAGCAGUGUAUUUUCUAUACAUUUCAUCUCACAAAAUCAACACUUCUUACAGUGGAUUUACAGUCUAGACACAUGCCCCCAAACACAUGAAACCAGUGUUUAAGUGACUCUCAGAUUUACCACAAGCACCCAGACUGUUUCACUGUUACCUACAGAACAAGAUGUGCCUAGCAUAUGCAUAGAACUCUAAUAGAAUGCACAGAAUCUACUGUUAGUAUACAUACUUGCCUCAUAACUUUUAUAAAUACUUUCAAACAGUGAUACCCUAAAUGUACAGAUAAGCCAUUCAGGUCACAGAUUUGCCCUAUAAUAUACUCAAUCAUAAUUCAUAUGUCUUAAAAGUUAUAGACAUACACGUGAAUGCAUAGAGUUGUUUUACAUUGUGCAGUUACAACACUUACUUUAUAAUGCAAGUAAAUAGCAAUUGUGUAGACAUAUAUACAUAUGUUACAUAUAUAAUACAUGUAUUAACUCCACUUGCAAAGAUUUCAUUGUAGAGGACAGACAUACUUUACCAUAUCAAUGAGCUACAAUUCUGGCUGACAGCAGAGAUACAGCUUGAUAUUCAUUAAGAGCAAGGCCUCUGGACCCAGGCUUCCUGGGCUUGCCUCCAGAUUCCAUCCUUUCCUAAUUGUAUCACCACAGAUAGAUUUGCCUUAAAAGACAAUCUUGAUCCAGAUUACUACAAAAACACCGUACAAGACCUAGAGUGAAUCUGCAAUGUCUAUCGAAACUCCUCCCUGAACACAAAAAUAUUACCUAUAAGUCUCAGGACCUGGGAAGAUGGAGAAAGGACUUCAUCAAUGGUGUACAUUUGCCACCUAAUGACCAAACCGAGUAAGUACAGUACUAGUGCAUAACCACAAUUUUCCCAACUACUUAACACCCUGGAAAGAUGUGUACACGAGUUAACAUGCACUACAUCAUAGUGGUUUCUGCUAUGUCUUGAAAUGCAAGUAGUAAUCAAAUAAAAUUUCACCUUUCAGAAAAACCUAGCCCCAUUUCCUUUCUUUCCGGGUUUUCAGAGACUGUUCUCUACCAGUGGUCUUCACACCUGCUAAAAAUGCGCCACCUAACAGCACUUUGAGAAAUUCUUGACUCCGAGGAUCACUAUAUUUCUAAUGCUCCUUUUUUUCUUCUAUUCCACUGUGGAAUUGAACCCAAAGUCUUACAUAAACUAGGAAGGUGUCCUGCCACUGAGCAAUGUCCUUAGCCUUUAUUUUUCAUGUUUACUAAUGUGAGAACUCAAGUAGCUUUUCAUAUAGGUAAUUAAAAAUAAAUAGAAUGCAUAUUUAAGUCACAAGUAAAAAACCACACAGUGACUAUUAUCAAAAACCAUUUUUUAGUCUGAAGUGAUGAUGCACAUCUGUAGUUCCAUGGCUUGGAAGACAGAGGCAGAGAUAUUUUAAGUUUCAUGCCAACCUCAGCUUCAGGCCAACUUCAGGUAUGUAGUGAGAUGAUCUUUCAAAAAAAGAUUUUGAGACGUGAAUGUAGAAAGAGGACUACUUGAGAGGAGUAAGGGAACCAACAGAAGUGAGGGAGGUAAGAGGAUAAUGGGUAAAUAUGAUCAAAAACAAUAUCUCCAUUUAUGUGUUCAUGAAACCUAUUGUGUAUAAUAUAUACUAAUGAAAAAUAGAAGACAGAACCAAAAACAUGAUUGAACUAAAAACGUUUUUCAAUGAUUUAAAAAAAUAAUAAGUAAAAUUUUAAUAGACAACUUGAAUACUAUCUCUAAUUUCAUGAAAACAAAGGACCCCAUGAUUUAUGAAAAGAUGCAUUGGAGCAAUUGAUGUUUUCAAUUUUUAGGAAGCUUAUCAGGAUAGCUUUAUCAAUACUUAUCAAAUGAUUAUUUGAUUAAUUAUACUUUGACUUGGGGAAAUUCAUUUUAGUCUACUAUCCUUACUAAAGAUUGGGAGAAUCAAAAUACAUAGAUCAAUAUGUGCUUGCCAAAGCAAUAAUUUUAUUA
This is a long non-coding RNA of Peromyscus leucopus (white-footed mouse), 4273 nucleotides long. RefSeq lists it as uncharacterized. NCBI's taxonomy places the organism in Eukaryota, Metazoa, Chordata, Mammalia, Rodentia, Cricetidae. The transcript is spliced from 6 exons. The record is from RefSeq and is a predicted model, not a curated record.